Long non-coding RNA from Bombus pyrosoma, 1136 nucleotides. RefSeq lists it as uncharacterized. Lineage: Eukaryota; Metazoa; Arthropoda; Insecta; Hymenoptera; Apidae. The record is from RefSeq and is a predicted model, not a curated record. The transcript is spliced from 3 exons.
CGACACGGUUCGAUAAGCUGCGGAAGAUCAAAGAGUUCUACAGCCGAGGACUUAAUACCAAUCCGACAACAGGAUAAUUUGACGCCAGGAACAAGUUAGGUCAGCCGCACGAAGGUCGUUCUACGCAAAUGCUAUGUAAACCUAACCAUAUGCAAUGACAGUAAUUGCGCGCAAACAUCAGGAGCAAAUAUACUUCAUACGUGUUCUAUUUGAAAGGAAAAAUGUUCACGUGGUCAAGAAUGUACAAGCAUUGAGGAAAGCAUGAACAAAAUGAAAGGAUUUGUGGGUCGGGCCAAAGAGACUGAAACAGUCGUGUGUUGCUAGUGAACCGAGGAAUCGGGGAUUUCCAUGUAUUAAAUAAACAUUUCGCCGCUGUCAAAGCAAAGUAUGGCGCUGUAGUAUGGUGUCCCAUGUCCAUGACCAUACAGGGCAACUCAUAAAGUAUGCAAUUGGACAAGGUAAGACGACACGCUUGCACCGUGACUGCGUCGUUGCUCGGCCAUUCGCUAAAUUAUUAUCGGGACCUCUCACCUUUCUAUCUAAUAAUCUACCUAGUAGCAGACAAGAGCAUUAGUGUUGACAAAUGCUUUUCCUAACGUUUCUCUCAGAACCUGUUGAGAUUCCAUUUGGUCGGAGUGACUCAGUGGAUAAGCGGAAAUAAUGUAAUUAACACCUUCCAUGCGAAACCAAACUGUCAACUCGAAGACAACAAAAUUCUAGUGCAUAUGUAAGCAUCUCAUACUUCAUGUUCAAGAAAUGUUACGUACGGAACAAACAAACAUAAAAAUGAAGACAUCUCCGACUUUAUGUAGCUCUGAAAAUGUAUUAACGUGGUUCGCAAACCACGUCGUAAAAUUGGAUGUUGAUAAAUAUACCUAUGAUCAACUAGUUCGCUGAUAUCUAAAAUGUAUAUGUAAUGGCACUCGUAAUCGGAUAUACUGAUUAAAUGGGUACACGCGUGCAAUCUUAUAGUUAUCGUGACUGAAAUGAGUACUUUAUGAGAGCUUGACGCGCAUAGAAGCAUUAAAAACGUAUAUCGUUACAUAAAACUGAAUUACAUAAUUACUUCUUCGUACAAUGUAACGAUCUUUCUCCUUCGUAACGAUAUUUCUUUAAUUAUCUGUCACAUUUUGAUA